AUUGAACGCUGGCGGAAUGCUUUACACAUGCAAGUCGAGCGGCAGCGCGGGGCAACCUGGCGGCGAGCGGCGAACGGGUGAGUAAUACAUCGGAACGUGCCCAGACGUGGGGGAUAACUACUCGAAAGAGUGGCUAAUACCGCAUACGAUCUAAGGAUGAAAGCGGGGGAUCGCAAGACCUCGCGCGUUUGGAGCGGCCGAUGGCAGAUUAGGUAGUUGGUGGGGUAAAGGCUUACCAAGCCCGCGAUCUGUAGCUGGUCUGAGAGGAUGAUCAGCCACACUGGGACUGAAACACGGUCCAGACUCCUACGGGAGGCAGCAGUGGGGAAUUUUGGACAAUGGGGGCAACCCUGAUCCAGCCAUGCCGCGUGAGUGAAGAAGGCCUUCGGGUUGUAAAGCUCUUUCAGACGGAAAGAAAACGCAUCGGUGAAUAACCCGGUGUGGAUGACGGUACCGUAAGAAGAAGCACCGGCUAACCUACGUGCCAGCAGCCGCGGUAAACU
Molecule: ribosomal RNA, 503 nt
Filed under: uncultured bacterium
Lineage: Bacteria
Description: bacterial SSU rRNA
Rfam family: Bacterial small subunit ribosomal RNA
Source: RNAcentral